This 467-nucleotide ribosomal RNA is filed under the name Staphylococcus epidermidis. Its description in RNAcentral is "bacterial SSU rRNA". It matches the Rfam family "Bacterial small subunit ribosomal RNA", at positions 1072 to 1533 of the family's 1533-position model. The record is from RNAcentral. Lineage: Bacteria; Bacillati; Bacillota; Bacilli; Caryophanales; Staphylococcaceae.
AUGUUGGGUUAAGUCCCGCAACGAGCGCAACCCUUAAGCUUAGUUGCCAUCAUUAAGUUGGGCACUCUAAGUUGACUGCCGGUGACAAACCGGAGGAAGGUGGGGAUGACGUCAAAUCAUCAUGCCCCUUAUGAUUUGGGCUACACACGUGCUACAAUGGACAAUACAAAGGGCAGCGAAACCGCGAGGUCAAGCAAAUCCCAUAAAGUUGUUCUCAGUUCGGAUUGUAGUCUGCAACUCGACUAUAUGAAGCUGGAAUCGCUAGUAAUCGUAGAUCAGCAUGCUACGGUGAAUACGUUCCCGGGUCUUGUACACACCGCCCGUCACACCACGAGAGUUUGUAACACCCGAAGCCGGUGGAGUAACCAUUUGGAGCUAGCCGUCGAAGGUGGGACAAAUGAUUGGGGUGAAGUCGUAACAAGGUAGCCGUAUCGGAAGGUGCGGCUGGAUCACCUCCUUUCUAAGGA